Molecule: non-coding RNA, 73 nt
Organism: Potamilus streckersoni
Lineage: Eukaryota; Metazoa; Mollusca; Bivalvia; Unionida; Unionidae
Source: the annotation of a GenBank genome assembly
GAUUGGCAUAGUGGUUAGAGCGUUAGCCUCAGAUGCGAAAGGUCGUGGGUUCGAACCCCGGCCAAGUUAUACA